GUAUCCCCGUUCUUCAUCGAAGGUAUCCAGUCGUCUCAGCCAUGCAAGCAAAGAUCUUUCUCUUCGCUUUUCUGCUCCUUGUGUGCGCUGUCCUCGCACACGGAAGUAGUUCGCGUUGCAGCGAACCGGCUCUUACCCAUUAUCGUGGAGACGCUUCGGAUCACAAGUGGACUUUUAAGGACGGAGCGUGCACAGAAGAAGGCGUGAGUGGCCAUGGAGAAACCACCACGAACAUGUUUGACAGUGAGGCUCAGUGCACGAGCCUAUGCCUGGGCUAAUGGCACAUCGCCACUAGACCUCGUGCGUCGAGCUCGUCACGUGCAGUCAAGAUGAUUCGACCGCAGAAUUCGAGAAUUCCGAAUAAAGGGGUCUUAAAUACUGAG
Molecule: long non-coding RNA, 383 nt
Organism: Ornithodoros turicata
Lineage: Eukaryota; Metazoa; Arthropoda; Arachnida; Ixodida; Argasidae
Exons: 3
Source: RefSeq, a predicted model, not a curated record